AAGAACCUGGAAUCAUGGCAAUUCCAAAAGGUUGCUACAAACUGAACAGGACAUAAUUAACAUAACUUCUCAAUAUCUAGUAUGCUUUGUACUUGUCCAAAUCACAACAUAUUGGCUAUACAAAGCGAUAAAGGUUAUGAUGGGAUUGGAAUAGGCCUACAGGUUUAAACGCAGAAAUGCAAUAAAAUUAGGCUUCCAAUAGGAAGAGGAGGAGGAGAAGAACCAGCCAACAGCUAAUCCCUUAAACACAGGCAUGCACAGCAAAGAUACAAAUAAUAUACUCUCUGCGCUAUGACUGGAUUCUUACUUCAAACAAAAGCCAAUCAGCAUGCCCUUGUCUUUCCCUCUACCAUAACCAUGUCAUGCAACAUAUAUAUUAAAAUAAGAAAACACUGAUUAAAAAUCUAGUUUUCAGGGGAAGAAAAGAAUUACAUCCUGCAGGCAAGAUCAACCAAU
Molecule: unclassified non-coding RNA, 456 nt
Filed under: Hevea brasiliensis (rubber tree)
Lineage: Eukaryota; Viridiplantae; Streptophyta; Magnoliopsida; Malpighiales; Euphorbiaceae
Source: RNAcentral